This 497-nucleotide ribosomal RNA is filed under the name uncultured bacterium. RNAcentral describes it as "partial 16S ribosomal RNA". It matches the Rfam family "Bacterial small subunit ribosomal RNA", at positions 28 to 507 of the family's 1533-position model. The record is from RNAcentral.
GACGAACGCUGGCGGCGUGCCUAAUACAUGCAAGUCGAGCGAACGGACGAUGAGCUUGCUUCUCUCUUGUUAGCGGCGCACGGGUGAGUAACGCGUGGAUAAUCUACCUAUAAGAGGGGGAAAACUUCGGGAAACCGGCGCUAAUACCGUAUGAUAUCUUGAACCAUAGGGUUCAAUAGUGAAAGACGGUCUUGCUGUAUCUAAUCGCUGGUUCCCGGCUUCUUUAGCUGGUUGUUACGGUAACGGCCUACCAAGGCAACGAUGCGUAACCGACGUGAGAGGGUGAUAGCCGACACGGGAACUGAGCCCGGCACAAGCGUCCUACGGGAGGCACCAGAAGGGAACCUUAGGCAAUGGGCGAAAGCAUGACGGAGCACGGCGGAGCGUGUGAGAAAGGUCUUGGGUUCGUAAAAACGGCUUAUUAGGGAAGAACAUAUUUGGAAGUAAAUGUGCACCGAGUGACGGUAACUAAUCAGAAAGCAACGGCUAACUACGUG